Molecule: transfer RNA, 220 nt
Filed under: Pneumocystis jirovecii
Lineage: Eukaryota; Fungi; Ascomycota; Pneumocystomycetes; Pneumocystales; Pneumocystaceae
Description: tRNA-Pseudo(TAT)
Source: RNAcentral
GGUUAUAUAUAUAAAUAUAUAUUAUAAUUUAUAAAUUAAUUUAUUAUUUGAUAAAUAAAAAUUUGUUGUUUUGGAAUUUUUUGAAUUUUAAUAAAAUUAAAAAAAGUAAUAAUGAAAAAUAUAAUGUUAAUUAUAUAUAUAAACCAUAUAUUUAUUUAUUAAUUAAUUUUUAUUUUAAAUUAUAAGAAUUAUAAUAUAAUAUUGAUAUAAUUUAAAAUUA